This 442-nucleotide ribosomal RNA is filed under the name uncultured bacterium. Its description in RNAcentral is "partial 16S ribosomal RNA". It matches the Rfam family "Bacterial small subunit ribosomal RNA", at positions 338 to 795 of the family's 1533-position model. The record is from RNAcentral.
CCUACGGGAGGCUGCAGUAGGGAAUCUUUCACAAUGGGCGAAAGCCUGAUGGAGCAACGCCGCGUGCAGGAUGAAGGCCUUCGGGUUGUAAACUGCUUUUAUAAGCGAGAAAUAUGAUGGUAACUUAUGAAUAAGGAUCGGCUAACUACGUGCCAGCAGCCGCGGUCAUACGUAGGAUCCGAGCAUUAUCCGGAGUGACUGGGUGUAAAGAGUUGCGUAGGUGGCAUAAUAUGUAGCUAGUGAAAUCUGGUGGCUCAACCAUUCAGACGAUUAGCUAAACUGUUAAGCUCGAGACCGUUAGGGGUAACUGGAAUUUCUAGGGUAGGGGUGAAAUCCGUAGAUAUUAGCAGGAACACCAAUAGCGUAGGCAGGUUGCUGGGACGGUUCUGACACUAAGGCACGAAAGCGUAGGGAGCAAACGGGAUUAGAUACCCCGGUAGUC